ACGUAUACAGCAGCACGAAAUCGUCGACGAAGCUGAGGGCGAAUGAACGAGCGGCCGCGUUGCUUCGCCUUUUAAGCCGGUGAAGACAUCAUCUGCGCGCCAAUCAAAUGCCGAGAUGGCGAAGUAUGGAAAAUUUUCAUCUUCAGUUCUCCCAACGUGCACACGUGCAUGCAUGCGCCCACGUUACUGUGGCGAGUAAAACGUAGAUAACUCGUGGUUAUACUGCUUAUUGGACUGCCUACCGUUUCUUGCAUCUCGUUUAUCCAUGAUAUCGGCAAUAAAGAAAACUGCACGGCCGUUUACUCUUGCUGGACGUCUCCGCAGUGGGUAUGCGCCACAGUUUCUAUCAUGUCAUUCAUUACGUCGAUCGUUUUUCCGCGUAAGUACCCGGCACGCUUUAAGUAAAGAUCUCAAAUGAAACAGUUUAAACUGGUAAAACGUUCUUUCAAAGCUCAACGUUUAUACAUUAAAAUUAAGGCCCAAUGUCACUUUUUGAAUUUCGCGCCAAUACAACAGCUUGACGUCACCGUAAAAAAAUUCUAGAAACUAGCGGUUGAACUAGUUGAAUGUUUGGUUGGUUUGCAACGCAUUGCUGUCCUACUUUACCGAUAAUAAAGCCCGAUUAAAAUAAACGGUGUCAAAGUCACGAGUAUUCGGGGAACGGCGCGAACUUCAGGAGCUUCAAGCGGCGGAAUCCACACCCGUCCUUCGUUAUCGCGCCGUUUCUGGCUGGCCGAGCCUCCUUUCACGGUAAUAUCGUAAUAUUAAGAGCUGCCACUUUGCUGUUGAAGAAGUGCAGUUUACUAAUACAGCCUAACUCUAUCAGUAUUCACCUUCAACGAAACUAACGUGGCACUUGC
Long non-coding RNA from Dermacentor silvarum, 860 nucleotides. RefSeq lists it as uncharacterized. The record is from RefSeq and is a predicted model, not a curated record. Lineage: Eukaryota; Metazoa; Arthropoda; Arachnida; Ixodida; Ixodidae. The transcript has 2 exons.